GAAAGAGGCAAGCCCAUGAAGUCCUAGCAACAAGGCAAAGGCUGAAUUUGCUCCAGACACCUAUGGAUUUGCCGUCGGUAAAUCAGGGUAACUCUGAUCUCUUCCACUGCUAACACAGACAGUUGUGAAUCUCCUGCCUCUAAAAUUACGCUCCACAAGACAAACUCAUCCACUCCUCCGUCUUCUCAUCCCCAAGGCCUAAGACAUCUCUGACCUUAUCUCCAAAUACAGUCACCUUCCAAGAUACUGAGGAUUAAGACAUCAACAUAUGGAUUUAAGGGGACACAAUUCAACCCCUUGCAAAGAGCUACAGAUAUCUUUAUUCUACUACUCAUAAAAUGUCUUAGGAAUACAAUAGCCAUUAGAACAUUAACUGGUUGCAAAAGGUUGAAUUGCUGAAGAAACCAGCUGUUUUUCAGAAAGAGAAAAAGCUUUCAUGCAGCAUUCUUCAUUUAGAAUACAUUGUUAUGCAGGUAUAUACAGCAAGUUAGUGUGUACAUUGAGAAAGACCCAGCAUAAAGUCACAGAGGACUCUGGUGCCAAAUCAUCUGAGUAUUUAUUUGAAUACUGGCUCUGUUUCUGACCAGCUGUGUGACUUUCCCAGCUUGCCUCCAACAACCUCUCCAUUCAAUUUUCCACAUACUGAGAGAGAUUUAUUGAUUACUCUGGCAAGAUACUGGGAUAGGCACAGAAGACCCAGCAGUGCCCAAAAAAACAACCUCUGUCCCACUCUGCCAUAAAGGACUCUACAGUCGAAGUGUUUGAGAAGAUCCUGGAAUAGUUUAAACAGUAUUGGCAUUAUUGGGUCACUUAACGGGUGAGAGGACUCAUUCAUAAAGCCAUCUGGUCCCAGCAUCUGUUUUA
This 864-nucleotide long non-coding RNA is filed under the name Homo sapiens (human). Its description in RNAcentral is "HSALNT0308721". Lineage: Eukaryota; Metazoa; Chordata; Mammalia; Primates; Hominidae. The record is from RNAcentral.